Molecule: ribosomal RNA, 405 nt
Filed under: uncultured bacterium
Lineage: Bacteria
Description: partial 16S ribosomal RNA
Rfam family: Bacterial small subunit ribosomal RNA
Source: RNAcentral
AUUGAACGCUGGCGGCAGGCCUAACACAUGCAAGUCGAACGAGUGGCGGACGGGUGAGUAAUGUCUGGGAAACUGCCUGAUGGAGGGGGAUAACUACUGGAAACGGUAGCUAAUACCGCAUACCAUCAGAUUUGCCCAGAUGGGAUUAGCUAGUAGGUGGGUUAACGGCUCACCUAGUCGACGAUCCCUAGCGGGUCUGAGAGGAUGACCAGCCACACUGGAACUGAGACACGGGCCAGACUCCUACGGGAGGCAGCAGUGGGGAAUAUUGAACAAUGGGCGCAAGUCUGAUGCAGCCAUGCCGCGUGUAUGAAGAAGGCCUUCGGGUUGUAAAGUACGUUCAGCGGGGAGGCGUUACCCGCAGAAGAAGCACCGGCUAACUCCGUGCCAGCAGCGCGGUAAUUC